GGAGGUAGAGCUCAAUGGUAGAGCACGUGCUUGGUGUGCACGAGGUUCUGGGUUCAAUCCCCAGUACCUCCG
Molecule: transfer RNA, 72 nt
Filed under: Camelus bactrianus (Bactrian camel)
Lineage: Eukaryota; Metazoa; Chordata; Mammalia; Artiodactyla; Camelidae
Also listed under: 1 other name
Rfam family: tRNA
About the family: Transfer RNA (tRNA) molecules are approximately 80 nucleotides in length. Their secondary structure includes four short double-helical elements and three loops (D, anti-codon, and T loops).
Source: Rfam by way of RNAcentral